CGAUCUGCUGGGGACUGAUGAAAUGAAUGUGGGUAUCAAUACCGCCGGCAGUGACAAUCAUCCCUUCUCCUGCCAGGGCCUCGGUGGAAGCCCCCACCGUCAUGCCAGGCGUCACCCCAUCCAUGAUAUCCGGGUUUCCGGCCUUUCCGAUUCCUUUGAUCCUGCCGUCCUUGAUCCCGAUAUCUGCUUUUAUGAUCCCUGUAUAAUCCACAAUCAGGGCAUUGGUGAUCACCAGAUCCAGAUCUCCGUCCCGGCUGCAGGUUUUCACAGACUGUCCCAUGCCGUCCCG
Molecule: small RNA, 289 nt
Filed under: uncultured Blautia sp.
Lineage: Bacteria; Bacillati; Bacillota; Clostridia; Lachnospirales; Lachnospiraceae
Description: 5' ureB small RNA
Rfam family: 5' ureB small RNA
Source: RNAcentral